GGCCUAAUAAAAGGAACUUGCAAACCAGAUAGCAAAACUAUUAGAGUUAAAAGCCAACCCAACCCGCCGCACUAACAACCAGCUCUGCUGCUGUGCGCUUGCGCAAGAAAAAGCGCCGCUCGACGAUGCUUCCUCUUCUGAGCAACGCCUGCCAUUGGUUACCGAGAAUUGCCGAGCGGCUUCGUACACCUCCGGAAAAAAAGCCGAAGGCGGGGGCGAAGGGGAGGGGGAGCAAACGGCUGGAGUGUGGCGCGGUGCAUUGUGGGGCGGAAGCAGAGAGUCACCGCUCUGUUAGGGCCGCCAUCUUGUCUGCGCCCGGACCCGCUGCCGCUCUCGGGCCCUGCUUGUUCUCCUCGUCGCGUGAAGCGGUGGAGAGAGUGAGGACGCGGAGUACGACCGGGUGGUGCUGAUGCGUGCGGGCUCUCCUCGCUCCUCACUCGGGCGCCACUAGUAAAAGGGGGCGGGGGUAAUCGGGCGGUCUCCGGUGCGGCCUUUCCUCUCCUCGGCCGGCAUGGGUCGGUCCCGCAGCCGGAGCUCAUCCCGCUCCAAGCAUACCAAGAGCUCAAAGCACAACAAGAAGAAUCGGAGCCGCUCGCGGAGCCGCUCUCGGGAGAAAGAGCGGGCGCGGAAACGCUCUAAGUCCCGGGAGAGCAAACGCAACCGGCGCCGCGAGUCCCGGUCCCGCUCCCGCUCCAACACGGCCCCCUCCUCCCGCCGCGAUCGGGAGCGCGAACGCGAACGCGCCUCGUCCCCACCGGACCGUAUCGACAUCUUCGGGCGCACGGUGAGCAAACGCAGCAGCCUGGACGAGAAGCAGAAGCGGGAGGAGGAGGAGAAAAAAGCAGAGUUCGAGCGGCAGCGGAAAAUUCGUCAACAAGAAAUCGAAGAGAAACUCAUAGAGGAAGAAACUGCUCGAAGAGUGGAAGAGCUUGUGGCUAAAAGAGUGGAAGAAGAGUUGGAGAAACGGAAGGAUGAGAUUGAGCGAGAGGUUCUCCGCAGGGUGGAGGAGGCUAAGCGCAUCAUGGAAAAACAGUUGCUCGAAGAACUCGAGCGACAGCGACAAGCUGAACUUGCAGCACAAAAAGCCAGAGAGGUAACGCUCGGUCGUUUGGAAAGUAGAGACAGUCCAUGGCAAAACUUUCAGUGUCGGUUUGUGCCUCCUGUUCGGUUCAGAAAGAGAUGGAAUACAACAAAUCUAAUUCCCUUCUCGUAUAAACUUUCAUUGCUGCGAAACUUAAUUUUUAGCCUAUUCAGAGGAGCUCACUGAUACUUAAACAGUUAUUCUCCUAAAACCUGAACAAGGAUACUUGAUUUUUAAUGGAACUGACCUACAUAUUUCAGUAUUGUUUGAAACUUUUGCCAUGGCUGCAGGAUUUAUCAACGGUCCUUUCUUUUCUGGGGAAGGGUAUUAAAAAAUCUGUAAUUAUGUAUCCUUCAUUUGUUUCAUUUUGUUUACCUAGACUGUAAGAGGCUUUUGCCUUCAGUCAGGCAAAGAGCAGGGUCCAGCACUGAGCUGCAAUGCCUGUCUUUAACAAAUAGGUUUCUUACUCUUCUUUUGAAACAUUUUCUUUGAGCGUACAUGGACUAAUUCUGGGACUUCGAGCAUAAGCCCAUCCACGUCUUCAUGAAGGAUCUAUGUCCAAAUCAUUAUAUCCACUUUUAAUAACUACUAACAAUUCCUUUUUUCCCUAGAAGUUAAUAAAAGAGCAGAUUGCCCUUGUCUGAAGUCAAGUCAAGCUGAACAUGCGACUUGGGGUUUUUUGGUUGUUUUUUUUUUGUUUUGUUUUUUUUUUUGUAUGGUUUUUGUUUUGGUUUUUUUCCAAAUCAGCAGCUGGAGCAGAAGCUGAAAAUGUCUUUCUGUGAGACAGUAAUUUGCUACUAAAGGCUUUGAUGCCUGCCUGCACCAAUCAUUCCAGGAUCCAGAAAUGUCAGGACAAAUUUUAAAUUUUGAAGAAAACUUGCACUAAGCAGUCAUGAGUGUCAAAUGCUUUUUUCACUUUGCAUACAUUUGUCUUAAAUUAAUAUUUUGAUUGGCUUACAAAAGGAAAUACAAUAGCGUUGAAGCUUUACCUUUGUACUGAAUAUGACUUGUCUGUCACAAGCACCUUUAAAACAAAAAAAGCCUGAGUUAUAACAAAUAUUAGGGAUAUUAAAUUAUACUUGUUCUGUAAAUUCAGACCUCACCUAUAAAGGAAUUGAAGUUGAAUUUAGGUGUGUAUACUCAGCAAAUGCUUGAUACAGGUUUUUAUUUAAUCAUAUUCAUGACUUUUUUUUUUUUUUUUAAAGUAUUUUUGUUACAUUUAAUAUGAUGCGGAGAAACCCCAUCAGUUCCUUUGCAGUACAGAAUAAACGUCUAUGCCUGGAGUGGAGUGUGCUAGCUAGUAGCUGGUUACUAGUCAUAGUAAGAAGUUUUCUCUUCGUAUGCUUGCUUUGUUCAUAUUAACUUUUUUUUUCUUACACAGACACAAACCUCUGGCUUACUUUAAAUCUUCCACAUAUUAAAAUAAUUUGGAUAUAUACUAUGUAAACUGAAACACCUCAAAAUCUUUCACGCAGUCUUCAUAUUUAUGGGUUGCAUAACAGAGUUCCAUAAAAUUCACCAAGAAAACAACAAUUACAAGGCUUUAUUUCCUGAUCUUGCCUUCCCUGGAUUCCAGAAUUCCAAGUUCAGACUGCUAAUGACAGUUUCAACUGUCUUAAAAUUGUCAAAAUACUGAAUGUAAAGUCCAUUCUCCCCAUGAAGGAAGCCCAUAGCUCCAUGAAGUAUGGAUUACCAUUUGUAUUUUCCACUAACAGUAAAUGUAUUUUUCUUAUUAAUUGUUUGCCUUAGGAAUGAUUUACAUAUUUUUGUUCCUUCCUAUCAUAAACAUCUGCAUUCCUCAGCUCAGCCUUCCUUGUAUGUUGUUUCUUUAUAAAUGGUUGAGCUGCUGAUGCAGGUAUUGCCAAGCUAACAGUACAAAUCAUUUUAAAGAGGAAGCUGGCGCGUAUGGCAGCCGAGGAGCACACUCUGCAGGACACUGGACAAGACAGAAGAAGAGCGUGCAAAGCGUGAGGAACUAGAACGAAUACUAGAAGAGAAUAAUCGAAAAAUUGCAGAAGCACAAGCUAAACUGGCUGAAGAACAAUUGAAAAUUGUUGAAGAACAAAGAAAGAUUCAUGAGGAGAGGAUGAAACUAGAACAAGAGAGGCAACGUCAGCAAAAGGAAGAGCAAAAAAUUAUCUUGGGCAAAGGAAAGUCUAGGCCAAAACUGUCCUUCUCACUAAAGAGCCAAGAUUAAAAUACAACUCUGAACUCUCUUACAAGAAGAAAAAAAAACAUUUAAAAAAAAAAACAAAACAACACCACCAACAAAAAACUUUGUAUGGUAGCUUCAUGUUGAAGUGUUUGUUUGUUUUUUUUCUUUUCUCUCAAUUUUUUUUUUGUCUUUUUAUUUUAUUUUAUUUUUUUUGAAAAUCUGGAAAGUUAGCUUGUUCUAAUAGGGGCUGUGCUCUGCAAUUCUUAAUUUUUAUUUUUAUUUUUUAACUCCAUUAAGUUAAACCCUUAUCAGAUCAUUGUUGCCUUUUAGAGAAUAAUAUGUUCUCACGUAUUCGUUUCUGUAUUAGUGGUCUGAAGCACAUCAGGACACUAUGAGUUGUGGAUGAUCUGAUAAGGUUUUACGGACCUACUCAUCAGAGUUUGACUCUGAUAGCUGACAGAAGUUUAUACUGGGUAUUGCUGACUCUUAAUUAUUUUUUUUAAAAGUCAGUGAAUACAUGAGUAAAUUGCCAUGGUAUUACUGGACCUCUGUGGCUUAUUGUUAAAUCAGUGUCCUAUGAUACUGUCCCAUUGUUGCGCUUGAUGUUCCUGAUACAGGUAAGGAAAUAGUUUGUCAUUUCUGCUAUGAAUACAUAGGGAGAGUUCAGUAUUGUCUCUGUUAGAUUUGUUUUUAUUACAUUGACAGCAUUCAACCAGCGUUCCCCAUUGUGUAAAUAAACCAAUUUGCUGAAUAAAGUGAAAGUCUUAAA
Molecule: non-coding RNA, 4005 nt
Organism: Coturnix japonica (Japanese quail)
Lineage: Eukaryota; Metazoa; Chordata; Aves; Galliformes; Phasianidae
Source: RefSeq, a predicted model, not a curated record